Molecule: transfer RNA, 73 nt
Filed under: Microbacterium ginsengiterrae
Lineage: Bacteria; Bacillati; Actinomycetota; Actinomycetes; Micrococcales; Microbacteriaceae
Description: tRNA-Met
Source: RNAcentral
CGCGACGAUCCGGGUGGUCCCGGGCUUCGGCUCAUACCUGAAAGUGCUGCGGGUUCGACUCCCGCCGUCGCGU